Molecule: ribosomal RNA, 504 nt
Filed under: uncultured bacterium
Lineage: Bacteria
Description: bacterial SSU rRNA
Rfam family: Bacterial small subunit ribosomal RNA
Source: RNAcentral
GACGAACGCUGGCGGCGUGCUUAACACAUGCAAGUGGAGCGACGAACCAGGCUUCGGCCUGGGGCAGAGCCGCGAACGGGUGAGUAACACGUGGGUAACCUGCCCCGAUGACUGGGACAACCCGGGGAAACCCGGGCUAAUACCGGAUGUGUAGCCGACACAUAAGUGUCAGCUGGAAAGGGAGCUUCGGCCCCCGCAUCGGGAUGGGCCCGCGGCCCAUUAGCUUGUUGGUGAGGUAACGGCUCACCAAGGCUUCGAUGGGUAGCUGGUCUGAGAGGACGAUCAGCCACACUGGGACUGAGACACGGCCCAGACUCCUACGGGAGGCAGCAGUGGGGAAUCUUGCGCAAUGCGCGAAAGCGUGACGCAGCAACGCCGCGUGGGGGAAGAAGGCCUUCGGGUUGUAAACCCCUUUCAGUUGGGACGAAGCUUCCAGAGUUAAUAGCUUUGUGGAGUGACGGUACCUUCACAAGAAGCCCCGGCUAACUACGUGCCAGCCGCCGC